Molecule: long non-coding RNA, 3811 nt
Organism: Diachasmimorpha longicaudata
Lineage: Eukaryota; Metazoa; Arthropoda; Insecta; Hymenoptera; Braconidae
Exons: 5
Source: RefSeq, a predicted model, not a curated record
CAGAAGCCCAUUCGUCUAAUCGUUUUGCUAGAACUACCGGGUAGUCGCGUGUCCACUCGUGCGGGUAUAGUUAUGAUACGGAAAUUUUUACAACAAAUGAGGAAGUUUUAUUGACAAUGUCAAUUGCAUUGACAACAACUCGGGAAGUAAAACAUAUCACCAGCUGUCGAGUGUGACAUGCCGCGAUUUUUAAUGCUGAAAUCCCAAUUACGAGAUUUUUUCUUUUUACUCGAUUUUUUCUGGCUUCGGUGCACGAUUCAAUCGUGUUUUUCCGCACAUAAUUGCUUGCAUCAGACUCAUCGAUUAUCAUUACGUCAGGCUAAAUAAGUAGGUUCGAGGAUAGUUCAGUUGAAGUAUGGGGAUUGGAUGGGCCAGAGUGGGGUGACAGCGCGAUACGGUAAAAACGUCGCAUCGAAUUGUUUCUUUGAAAUACGACAGGGGCACAGAGUCGUCAGUGUAUGCGUGUUGUAUUAAUUGUUUCCAAGUUUUUUUCCCUCAAGGACAAGGUGUGUGGGUCCGAGAACCGGUGGAUUAAUCGCUAAAUUACGUCUAAGGUAUUUCCGGGCUAAAAACGGGGAAUUUUAGACAGUGACGAAAUGGAUACCGUGAAGAAGACGGAGGUGGCAUUGGGAUGAGCCCAAAAUUUCAUGCGACUCAGUAAAUUUAACUACAAGGAGUCAUUCAUUAGAUCACUUGCGAAGAAAACUUCCUCAGGAAGAGGACAAUCCGUGUGUGGUUUACAAAUGUGAGAUAUUCCUGAAAUUGGAAAUAUCUACGAAUAUCUGUAUUUUAGAAUUAUUUUCAUAAUUUUUGGGAAUUAUAAUUUCGUUGACACAAUUCCCUUGAAAUUCAACGUUAGGAAAUUCGUAUUAUUUUAUACUAAAUUACGUGGAGUUUGCUGAAUGUUAAGUAAAGUCAGAAAUUCCACCAUUUUUUCCCAUAGUGAGAAUUAAAUGUCAAUUCUUGACAAUUCUGGAAAUUGCGGAGAAAAUUUCAUUCCAUAUUAUUCUAAAGAAUUUCUCUCAAGUUCGAGAUGAAAAAGAAAUAUGUGAUUUUUCCAUUUCAUCAUCUUUUCAAGAUCAUGUGUCACAAUUAUAAUUACACUAACAGAAUCACUUGUUUUGAGAGUUUUUCCGUCGUUUCCUAGAAUCAGAAUUAAGAAUAUUUCCCUCGUUGCAAGGUAACCUUUCAUCUGUAGAUAGGACCAGCCCGUUCGCGUCAAAUUAGCAACUUCCGCGAUUGGCUUUUCCUCUAGAUUUGACUGGCAUCAUCUUUCCCUUGAGUCAUGCAAAAAAUAAAUAUCAAGCACGAGCCCGAUCCCCCCUAUUUCUGAACAUCAUCAUCAACAUAUUUAAAAAACCGAAAGUUCCCUAUUCAAGAAAAUUUCCGUCUCCCCCCAAUAGCUGAAGGAAGUGCCAGUCGAGGGAACAAGUCAUCGAUUUCAAAUGAAAUAAUUUUUUCCAUUACAUUAGGCAAUAAGAACUCCUGAGCUCAUUCAGUAUCCCUCCGUCAUCAAUAAGUAUUUACCUCGGGUGCUGGUAAACUCAUAUAUUAACAAUGAUUUUUCGUCCAGCAUCAUUAAUCAGCGAAAGCCGAUUAGAUUAAUGGUUAAUCGAUGGGACAUCUCGACAUUUACCCCGGGAUCAUAGCCCAUAGCCUGUGUUUCUUUCUCCCCCUUCAUCGCACCCAUAACGCGUUUAUCCAUGUACACAUACACAUGCAUAUGGUGGCUAACCUCAAGAGAACAAAAUGACAAGACGAUUUGCUUGGGAUGACUAAUGGUCGCCGGCCAGACUCCAUCUCAUCCAGUGAUUGAAGAAAAAAAAAAAUACACCUAAGAAAACCGGUACGACGAAAAGACACCCACGACCUUUUCCACUUCUCUCUCUUGGCGCGUCGUUACAGAAAUAAUGUAUCCCGACCUACUUGUGUACUUUACACAGCAUUGUCCAAUGAUUUCCAUCGGUGCAACACAUUACCAAUUUCAAAGUUGACCUAUUUUUUGUAUUCUACAAGCCAUCAGCAUCACUAGAAACAGUUUCCCAGUCUCAAGUGAAGCAAAAUGAGUGAAGCGAGGAGAAAAAAAAAAUUUACGAGUGAAAACAGAAAACGAGAGGAUCGUAAAAUAACAAGACAAUGAGUUGGAAAAACUGAGGAAGUGGAGUGGGUGAGGUGGAGGGUCAGAAGAGAAGUAAAAAAGUGACUGGUAUCUCUCAGUUGAUUUUGUGUAUGUUCUUUCAAUAAUAAACGCCUGCAGACAGCUUGUCGCUGUGCGCGAUCCGAGCUUCAUGAAUUGUGCAAUUAUUUCGCCUCCACUCUCCUCUCGUUCCCCCGCUAGAGGAGGGGAAGGGGUGAGGGGGAGGAGUGACAUCGAUAGAUAUCUCGAGUGGUACAAUGUGAUCAGAGACACGUAUCCACAAGAUUGAAUAAAUUUGUUGGGGCCUUCGUUGCGCUGGGCAAAAGUUCACUAGCUGCGACGUUGUACACCUCUGUCGGUGGCCAGAGUGGUCUGAAGAGGUAGUGACACAUGGGAAAUACUAACGAGGACUAUAACUGCAUUGCAACGAGGAAUGGUCGAGACUGAGGACUGGAAGGGAGCAGACAACGUCACAACAAUACAUCUCUUUAGCGACGACACAAUAAAUCAAAAUAAACCCGAGCAGUGUAGGGGAGAAAACAGGUUGGGCUGCACCGCGGGAGUCUGCAACGACACGGGACUUUGGGCUCUAUCGUUUGUUAUUGUAUGUGUACGUGUGUGAGUGCGCACAAGUCGAGGUUCUUGGGACAUGUCAACAGGUAUCAUCCCCCUUCUAAACGCUGAGGCUAUACUGAGCUAAGGUUGAGGAUGCUCCUAUAUCCUUAUUCUGCACAUCUUUGGAGUGCGACUGAAGGCAGAAACCAAUUGGAAAAUUGUUCAAAGGGAAAUUACAAGAAAUUAGAAGCCGAAGGUGAAGGACACCCUCGCGAGGAAAAAGUUCGUGGAGAAUUGCGACUGUGAGUGAGGCAUUUAAUCAGAGAAAAUUUCUCAUGUGAACAUGAGAUAAAAUUUCUCUUUCCCAAUGUGAAAUAAAAAUAAAUCUCCCGAAAAUUUCGUAUGGAAAUGAAGGAACCGCCCUUCGACUAGAUUCCGUAUAUUGAACAUUCAUCGAACCCCUCCAUCUCACCAUAUCUCCUGUACUCCCCUUUGCCUCUUCUCCUCAAACUGAAAAAAAAAACUAUUUCAAGAGAAUUUGAAAUGUCAAAGACCCCGAUGAUGAAGCACGUUCACGAAAUUACAAGGCGUAAACAAAGUCAACUCAGGGGUUGUUUUCCACUAUCCGAACAGGACAAACCAGGAUGAAAAGCACAUUUUCCCGCUUAUUACAUUCAAACACCAACGACUCGCGUAGUUGAGCAUUGAAGGAGAGAGAUGAGGAUGAGACAGCAAUGAGAGGGGAGAGAGAGAGUAGGGAUGAUGUCCUCCAUGUUCGCGUUGAGGUCGAAAGGCCACACUCGAGAAAUAUAUAUCACGAGAUCGCGUUGAUAAAACAGACUGAGAGCCCCCACGUAUAACUGCUGAUCUUCGCCAGAGACAAUAUUUAUUUCCCUCCGACUCCCACAACCCCCUCCGCCCUCGACGAUUUUACUCGAGACUUAUAUCGAGCCAUAUAGUUUGACAGAACUUCUUCCAUUUAUUUAUUUUUGUUUAUCUCCCUUGCUUUUAUUGUUUUUUUCGCAUUUAUAUCGCUGGAAACGGUGAAACCGUGUCGAUUGAAUGAUAUUUGCCGGGCCAAGCGCUUGGAAAUGGCGAGAAGCUUCAAGGGUGUAUCCA